This 499-nucleotide ribosomal RNA is filed under the name Heliconius erato hydara. Its description in RNAcentral is "partial 16S ribosomal RNA". Lineage: Eukaryota; Metazoa; Arthropoda; Insecta; Lepidoptera; Nymphalidae. The record is from RNAcentral.
AUAUUUAAGUCUAAUCUGCCCACUGAUUAUAAAUUAAAGGGCUGCAGUAUAUUGACUGUACAAAGGUAGCAUAAUAAAUAGUCUUUUAAUUGAAGACUUGUAUGAAAGAUUUGAUGAAAUAUAAACUGUCUCUAAAUUAAAAAUUGAAAUUAAUUUUUUAAUUAAAAAGUUAAAAUAAUUUAAAAAGACGAGAAGACCCUAUAGAGUUUUAUAAUAAUAAUUUUUUAAUAUUUAAUAUCUAAAAAUAAAUUUAAAUAAUUAUUAUUAUUUUAUUGGGGUGAUAGAAAAAUUAAAAUAACUUUUUUUAAAAAAAUUACAUUAAUAAAUGAAAUUAUGAUCCAUAUUUUAUGAUUAUAAGAAAAAAUUACCUUAGGGAUAACAGCGUAAUUUUUUUUUUUAGUACAAAUAAAAAAAAAAGGUUGCGACCUCGAUGUUGGAUUAAGAUAAAAUUUAAAUGCAAAAGUUAAAAUUUUGAUACUGUUCGAUCAUAAAAUCUACA